GUAGGGGGCGAGCGUUGUCCGGAUUUACUGGGCGUAAAGAGCGCGUAGGCGGUUCGUCGCGUCAGGUAUGAAAGGGUGGGGCUUAACCCCACGACUGUACCUGAGACGGGCGAACUUGAGGGCAGGAGAGGACCGUGGAAUUCCGGGUGUAGUGGUGAAAUGCGUAGAGAUCCGGAGGAACACCAGUGGCGAAGGCGGCGGUCUGGGCUGCAUCUGACGCUGAGGCGCGAAAGCGUGGGGAGCGAACUGAAUUAGAUACUCAGGUAGUCCACGCCCUAAACGAUGGACACGAGGUGUCGGGGGUAUCGACCCCCUCGGCGCCGGCGCCAACGCAGUAAGUGUCCCGCCUGGGGAGUACGGCCGCAAGGCUA
RNAcentral lists this ribosomal RNA (371 nucleotides) under uncultured bacterium. RNAcentral describes it as "bacterial SSU rRNA". It matches the Rfam family "Bacterial small subunit ribosomal RNA", at positions 527 to 896 of the family's 1533-position model. The record is from RNAcentral.